GACGAACGCUGGCGGCGUGCCUAAUACAUGCAAGUCGAACGCAGUGGGGACGGGUGAGUAACACGAGGUUAACCUCUCCAUCAGAGGGGAUAACACUUGGAAACAGGUGCUAAACCGAUACUGAUGGAUGGACCCGCGGUGCAUUAGAGAGUUGGUAAGGUAACGGCGUACCAAGGAAACGAUGCAUAGCCGACCUGAGAGGGGGAUCGGCCACACUGGAACUGAGACACGGUCCAGACUCCUACGGGAGGCAGCAGUAGGGAAUCUUCGGCAAUGGGCGAAAGUCUGACCGAGCAACGCCGCGUGAGUGAAGAAGGUGUUCGGAUCGUAAAACUCUGUUGUUAGAGAAGCGGUAUCUAACCAGAAAGCCACGGCUAACUACGUGCCAGCCGCCGCGGUAAUAC
RNAcentral lists this ribosomal RNA (404 nucleotides) under uncultured bacterium. RNAcentral describes it as "partial 16S ribosomal RNA". It matches the Rfam family "Bacterial small subunit ribosomal RNA", at positions 28 to 526 of the family's 1533-position model. The record is from RNAcentral.